CAACNCCGCGUGAGGGAUGAAGGCCUCUGGGCUGUAAACCUCUUUUAUCAAGGAAGAAGAACUGACGGUACUUGAUGAAUAAGCCWCGGCUAAUUCCGUGCCAGCAGCCGCGGUAAUACGGGAGWGGCAAGCGUUAUCCGGAAUUAUUGGGCGUAAAGCGUCCGCAGGCGGUUUUACAAGUCUGUCGUUAAAGCGUGGAGCUCAACUCCAUUUCAGCGAUGGAAACUGUAAGACUMGAGUGUGGUAGGGGCAGAGGGAAUUCCCGGUGUAGCGGUGAAAUGCGUAGAUAU
This 290-nucleotide ribosomal RNA is filed under the name uncultured bacterium. Its description in RNAcentral is "partial 16S ribosomal RNA". It matches the Rfam family "Bacterial small subunit ribosomal RNA", at positions 392 to 697 of the family's 1533-position model. The record is from RNAcentral.